RNAcentral lists this ribosomal RNA (440 nucleotides) under uncultured bacterium. RNAcentral describes it as "bacterial SSU rRNA". It matches the Rfam family "Bacterial small subunit ribosomal RNA", at positions 338 to 795 of the family's 1533-position model. The record is from RNAcentral.
CCUACGGGAGGCAGCAGUGGGGAAUAUUGGACAAUGGGCGCAAGCCAGAUCCAGCAAUGCCGCAUGAGUGAUGAAGGCCUUAGGGUUGUAAAGCUCUUUUACCCGGGAUGAUAAUGACAGUACCGGGAGAAUAAGCCCCGGCUAACUCCGUGCCAGCAGCCGCGGUAAUACGGAGGGGGCUAGCGUUGUUCGGAAUUACUGGGCGUAAAGCGCACAUAGGCGGCUUUGUAAGUUAGAGGUGAAAGCCCGGGGCUCAACUCCGGAAUUGCCUUUAAGACUGCAUCGCUAGAAUUGUGGAGAGGUAAGUGGAAUUCCGAGUGUAGAGGUGAAAUUCGUAGAUAUUCGGAAGAACACCAGUGGCGAAGGCGACUUACUGGACACAUAUUGACGCUGAGGUGCGAAAGCGUGGGGAGCAAACAGGAUUAGAUACCCCGGUAGUC